This is a long non-coding RNA of Homo sapiens (human), 346 nucleotides long. RefSeq lists it as uncharacterized. The transcript is spliced from 2 exons. The record is from RefSeq and is a predicted model, not a curated record. Lineage: Eukaryota; Metazoa; Chordata; Mammalia; Primates; Hominidae.
ACCAUCUACAUUCUUACCAUGACUGUGAGACUGAUACUGCCCACAACGAUACCAGUACUGAGUGAUGAAGAACAUUUUGCUAAGUUGUUCUAUCGUGGUCCUUGCUUAAGGGGAUUGUUGGACGGAUGUUGUGGGAACUGAACUUGAAGAAGGAAGAGCCCAUCAUUUGGACACAUCUUAGGGCUUCCCAGCUGCACCAGGUUAUGGACAAGGGACCUGGAACCCCAACCCUUCCAGUCACUAACCACAUGGCCUGAGAUGUCAUUUCAUGCAGCUGGGCUCUUUGUGCUCAUCAGCAAGUGAUGUAAAUAAAGCAUGUGAGGUUAGCACACCGUAUAUUCUCAAA